RNAcentral lists this ribosomal RNA (652 nucleotides) under Salmonella enterica subsp. enterica serovar Typhimurium var. 5-. RNAcentral describes it as "bacterial LSU rRNA". It matches the Rfam family "Bacterial large subunit ribosomal RNA", at positions 670 to 1318 of the family's 2925-position model. Lineage: Bacteria; Pseudomonadati; Pseudomonadota; Gammaproteobacteria; Enterobacterales; Enterobacteriaceae. The record is from RNAcentral.
AGGGAAACCGAGUCUUAACCGGGCGUUAAGUUGCAGGGUAUAGACCCGAAACCCGGUGAUCUAGCCAUGGGCAGGUUGAAGGUUGGGUAACACUAACUGGAGGACCGAACCGACUAAUGUUGAAAAAUUAGCGGAUGACCUGUGGCUGGGGGUGAAAGGCCAAUCAAACCGGGAGAUAGCUGGUUCUCCCCGAAAGCUAUUUAGGUAGCGCCUCGUGAAUUCAUCUCCGGGGGUAGAGCACUGUUUCGGCUAGGGGGCCAUCCCGGCUUACCAACCCGAUGCAAACUGCGAAUACCGGAGAAUGUUAUCACGGGAGACACACGGCGGGUGCUAACGUCCGUCGUGAAGAGGGAAACAACCCAGACCGCCAGCUAAGGUCCCAAAGUCAUGGUUAAGUGGGAAACGAUGUGGGAAGGCCCAGACAGCCAGGAUGUUGGCUUAGAAGCAGCCAUCAUUUAAAGAAAGCGUAAUAGCUCACUGGUCGAGUCGGCCUGCGCGGAAGAUGUAACGGGGCUAAACCAUGCACCGAAGCUGCGGCAGCGACGCUGAUGCGUUGUUGGGUAGGGGAGCGUUCUGUAAGCCUGCGAAGGUGACCUGUGAGGGUUGCUGGAGGUAUCAGAAGUGCGAAUGCUGACAUAAGUAACGAUAAAGG